GCGUAUCUGAUGUCAUUCCAGGUAGUGAUAGAUCCUGGUGGUAGCUUCUUCAACCAAUGAGCUGCAUCUCCAGCAAGAGAGUAUGGAAAUAGUUUGCAAAAGUAGUAGUCUUCAGAGACUCCAUUGCAUUUAAUGGUCGAUGCUAGAUCUACAAAUGUCUCCAGGUGGCUAGUGGGAUCUUUAUGAGGAAAACCAUGGAUAGAAUGCUGACCCAC
RNAcentral lists this long non-coding RNA (215 nucleotides) under Brassica rapa (field mustard). Its description in RNAcentral is "long non-coding RNA (BRAP_LNC001259)". The record is from RNAcentral. Lineage: Eukaryota; Viridiplantae; Streptophyta; Magnoliopsida; Brassicales; Brassicaceae.